CCUACGGGUGGCAGCAGUGGGGAAUAUUGCGCAAUGGGCGAAAGCCUGACGCAGCGACGCCGCGUGAGGGAUGAAGGUCUUCGGAUCGUAAACCUCUGUCAGCAGGGAAGAACGGUCACUGUGCUAAUCAGCAGUGAAUUGACGGUACCUGCAAAGGAAGCACCGGCCAACUCCGUGCCAGCAGCCGCGGUAAUAGGGAGGGUGGUAGCGUUGAUCGGGAUUACUGGGCGUAAAGCGCUCGUAGGCGGUAUGUCAAGUCAAGGGGGAAAUCCCCGCGCUCAACGCGGGAACUGCCGUUGAAACUGGCAAACUGGAGUGUGUGAGAGGAUAGCGGAAUGCCAGGUGUAGGAGUGAAAUCCGUAGAUAUCUGGAGGAACAUCAGUGGCGAAGGCGACUAUCUGGCACAUAACUGACGCUGAGGAGCGAAAGCGUGGGUAGCAAACAGGAUUAGAUACCCUGGUAGUC
This 465-nucleotide ribosomal RNA is filed under the name uncultured bacterium. RNAcentral describes it as "partial 16S ribosomal RNA". It matches the Rfam family "Bacterial small subunit ribosomal RNA", at positions 338 to 795 of the family's 1533-position model. The record is from RNAcentral.